RNAcentral lists this ribosomal RNA (486 nucleotides) under uncultured bacterium. RNAcentral's name for it is "partial 16S ribosomal RNA". It matches the Rfam family "Bacterial small subunit ribosomal RNA", at positions 30 to 507 of the family's 1533-position model. The record is from RNAcentral.
AUUGAACGCUGGCGGCAUGCCUUACACAUGCAAGUCGAACGGCAGCACGGGUGCCUGCACCUGGUGGCGAGUGGCGAACGGGUGAGUAAUACAUCGGAACAUGUCCUGUAGUGGGGGAUAGCCCGGCGAAAGCCGGAUUAAUACCGCAUACGAUCCACGGAUGAAAGCGGGGGACCUUCGGGCCUCGCGCUAUAGGGUUGGCCGGUGGCUGAUUAGCUAGUUGGUGGGGUAAAGGCCUACCAAGGCGACGAUCAGUAGCUGGUCUGAGAGGACGACCAGCCACACUGGGGCUGAGACACGGCCCAGACUCCUACGGGAGGCAGCAGUGGGGAAUUUUGGACAAUGGGCGAAAGCCUGAUCCAGCAAUGCCGCGUGUGUGAAGAAGGCCUUCGGGUUGUAAAGCACUUUUGUCCGGAAAGAAAUCCUUGACUCUAAUACAGUCGGGGGAUGACGGUACCGGAAGAAUAAGCACCGGCUAACUACGUG